UGGGGAAUAUUGGACAAUGGGCGCAAGCCUGAUCCAGCCAUGCCGCGUGAGUGAUGAAGGCCCUAGGGUUGUAAAGCUCUUUCACCGGUGAAGAUAAUGACGGUAACCGGAGAAGAAGCCCCGGCUAACUUCGUGCCAGCAGCCGCGGUAAUACGAAGGGGGCUAGCGUUGUUCGGAUUUACUGGGCGUAAAGCGCACGUAGUCGGACUUUUAAGUCAGGGGUGAAAUCCCGGGGCUCAACCCCGGAACUGCCUUUGAUACUGGAAGUCUUGAGUAUGGUAGAGGUGAGUGGAAUUCCGAGUGUAGAGGUGAAAUUCGUAGAUAUUCGGAGGAACACCAGUGGCGAAGGCGGCUCACUGGACCAUUACUGACGCUGAGGUGCGAAAGCGUGGGGAGCAAACAGG
This 404-nucleotide ribosomal RNA is filed under the name Actinomycetes bacterium. RNAcentral's name for it is "Actinobacteria bacterium partial 16S ribosomal RNA". It matches the Rfam family "Bacterial small subunit ribosomal RNA", at positions 355 to 776 of the family's 1533-position model. Lineage: Bacteria; Bacillati; Actinomycetota; Actinomycetes. The record is from RNAcentral.